GCCAUCUGCUGGCGAAGAGAAGCCAUUGUAAUGCAGCAUGGCAAAUAUCUUAUUUACAUAAAUCAAUUUGGCUGGCAGUGGCAAAUUGUACUGCUCUUUUUGUCAGUGAGUGACAACACUAAUGUUCACCAAAUAAGUGAUUAGCAGCUAAAUUGAGAAUUAAAUAGUGCGUUGUUGCAUCUCUAACUAGAUCAAUAGAUGAAUGUUUACAGACUGGGCACGUGCAGCUAAUCCUAACUGCUCGAGUCAAAAAGAUGGACAGCAAACGAAUGAGUACUUGAUCGAGUUGUCCAGCUCAAGGAGAAGACAAGAUACAUUGUCAACAAAAAAGAUCAAAUUAACGAAGUGUAACAGCAAGCCUGCACUGUCCAAGAAGAAACGAAAGGAUGAGAGAAGGUCGAUGCCUCCACCACGACCCGUGAUAGAGACCGCUGCCCGAUGUCAAGGUGAAGGAGAGAGAUCACAGAGACGGAGAAGUCCUAGCGUUGGCCAAAGAUGCACUCCUCAGAGCAUGAUGAAUGAAGACCUCUUCACCUUCUACCAGAGAGACGAGCACACGUCAACCAACCAACCUCAGUGGGCAGCCAGACAGGCUGUGUUAAGGACCAUCGGUAGGAUGCUGCAGGAGAACAGAAGCAUCAGAGAGAGACUGGUCUCCCUCAGCCAUAGCAUAGGCUAUACAUUGAACUCAGUCUGAAGACUAGAUUACAAUCUGGGAAUGAUACAUAGAUUAUGGAACUUCUCUUUCCCUCUCAAACUCAGGAAUGGAAUAUUUUUUAUUUGUUUCCCUUCAAUGUUAUGAUUUUGUUUUAACCAAGUUUAUGGACUACCUGGCAAAUGUGCUGAUUUGAGAUGGAAUGAAGAUGAGGUUAUUUAUGUUACCUGAAACUAAACCUGUACUGUACAUCUCGAGCAAUCUGUUCCUAUAGUUUCCUCUGGUUGAAGAAAUAGACUAAUAUACGUUGGUUUUGAUGGGGAACACACAGAUUUUUACUGUUGUCAACUAUUUUGACUGUUGUCAUGGGGAACAAAGAGUUCUGAAUUAAAACAACUUCUUGAGGAGAAAGUGUUGUUAAUUUCUGUUAUGUCUGGUGAGCUAUAACAGGUCAACCCACCCUCCUGGAGUGCUACUACUGGGUAUGAAGGCUGUUGCACCAGCCCUUCUUCCUCAUGGAGAACCUCACCUCUUUUUCCACUAGAGGGAAGUGUCUCUAUUUUGUGUGUGUGUGGGUGUGUUAGAUACUGUACACUCAGCCACCUAAAGGUAGAAUACACAGGUCAGCCACAGCUCAACUUUCUCAGUCAGAGGUUCUCAGUAGAGCCUGUGAGUGUCCAAAAUGGCACCUUAAUCCCUUUAUAGUGCACUACUUAUGAACAGAACCCUAUGUGUUUCUGUUCCCUGCUCAUUAUUAGUGAAUUAACAACCCACAGCCAACAUGUGGUUCUGUUUCCUGCUCCUUAUUAGUGAAUUAACAACCCACAGCCAACAUGUGGUUCUGUUUCCUGCUCCUUAUCAGUGAAUUAACAACCCACAGCCAACAUGUGUUUCUGUUUC
Molecule: long non-coding RNA, 1555 nt
Organism: Oncorhynchus tshawytscha (Chinook salmon)
Lineage: Eukaryota; Metazoa; Chordata; Actinopteri; Salmoniformes; Salmonidae
Source: Ensembl